AAACCAACAGGGAUUGCCUCAGUAACGGCGAGUGAAGCGGCAAAAGCUCAAAUUUGAAAUCCCCCGGGAAUUGUAAUUUGAAGAGAUUUGGGUCCGGCCGGCGGGGGUUAAGUCCACUGGAAAGUGGCGCCACAGAGGGUGACAGCCCCGUGAACCCCUUUAACGCCCUCAUCCCAGAUCUCCAAGAGUCGAGUUGUUUGGGAAUGCAGCUCUAAGUGGGUGGUAAAUUCCAUCUAAAGCUAAAUACCGGCGAGAGACCGAUAGCGAACAAGUACAGUGAUGGAAAGAUGAAAAGCACUUUGAAAAGAGAGUGAAAAAGUACGUGAAAUUGUUGAAAGGGAAGGGCUUGCAAGCAGACACUUAACUGGGCCAGCAUCGGGGCGGCGGGGAGCAAAACCACCGGGGAAUGUACCUUUCGAGGAUUAUAACCCCGGUCCUUACUCCCUCACCAUCCCGAGGCCUGCAAUCUAAGGAUGCUGGCGUAAUGGUUGCAAGUCGC
RNAcentral lists this ribosomal RNA (499 nucleotides) under Metschnikowia pulcherrima. Its description in RNAcentral is "eukaryotic LSU rRNA". It matches the Rfam family "Eukaryotic large subunit ribosomal RNA", at positions 62 to 648 of the family's 3401-position model. Lineage: Eukaryota; Fungi; Ascomycota; Pichiomycetes; Serinales; Metschnikowiaceae. The record is from RNAcentral.